AUAGUAAACAUAUAAUAUGGUAUAAUUUAGUAUAAAGUUUUUGCUAUAAAGGUUUUGUCAUUUUCUUUUUUUAUUUAUUUGGUUGAAUCUUUGAAAAAUCAUAUUAAAUCAUAGAGAAAUAAUAAAAUAGAAAAUAUAAUUUUCUUAGACUCCACAUGAGUAUAUAUACAAUUCAUAAUAUAUGUAUAUUUUAGUCCGACAAAAUAAUUAUAGAAGCUAUAGCUAUGAAUUAUUUUAAUUAACUACAGAAAAGCAUAAAUCUAAAGCUACAACAAAAAAACUAUGCUAAAGCAUACCAUAUUAUAUAUUUACUACGUAGAUAUGCUCAUAUGGAAUCUUAAAAAAUUAUAUUUUAUAAUUUAUGAUUUUUUUUUGUAAUUUACUAUGAUUUUCCAAUUAUUUAGCCAAAAUAAAUAAAAAUAAAAAGACAAAACCUUUAUAGCAAAAACUUUGUACUAAAUCAUAUCAUAUUAUAUAUUCAAUAUUUAGAUCUACUUAUAUGGAGUCCAACAAAAUUAAAUUUUCUAUUUUAUGAUUUUUUUUGUGAUUUACUCUGAUUUUUUAAAAAUAUAACCAAAAUAAUUAAAAAAGAAAAUAAAAAAAACCACCAUCACUGUAGCACUGUAACAAAACCGUCUUCGAAACCGCUCCAAAGAGGUAAAAUGUACAGUUUGAAAAGUUGAAAGGGGUGAUUUAUCCGGUUUCGGAGUUGAGAGAGGAAAACAGACUUUGUGAAAGUUGGGGAAGAAAAAAUACCGGAUAUAAUGAAAACGGAGUGCGUGGCUACUAGCGCUUGCAGUUUGCGUGAGAGGAGAGGUCACUGCGUGCUGGUGCCAGCCUGCCAUUUUGAGUAGCCCAUCGGGCAAGUGGUCUGUUGGGCCAAGCGUGAUUUGAGGGAGUGGAGGGAGGAGAAAGUAGCCCAAAAUAGAUUUUGUAUUUUUGUGACAACUUUUGUAAUUCCUAGAAAAUCAAGGAGGAUUUGAAGUAAUUUGAUUUAAAUUCUAGGAAGAGGUUUGAGUUAAAGAUUCAAGGUAAAUAUUUUUGGUGCCACAAAUAAAUUUGAGAAAGCACAUCAACA
RNAcentral lists this long non-coding RNA (1078 nucleotides) under Sorghum bicolor (sorghum). RNAcentral's name for it is "long non-coding RNA (SBIC_LNC017865)". The record is from RNAcentral. Lineage: Eukaryota; Viridiplantae; Streptophyta; Magnoliopsida; Poales; Poaceae.